This 497-nucleotide ribosomal RNA is filed under the name uncultured bacterium. Its description in RNAcentral is "partial 16S ribosomal RNA". It matches the Rfam family "Bacterial small subunit ribosomal RNA", at positions 28 to 507 of the family's 1533-position model. The record is from RNAcentral.
GACGAACGCUGGCGGCGUGCCUAAUACAUGCAAGUUGAGCGCUGAAGGUUGGUACUUGUACCAACUGGAUGAGCAGCGAACGGGUGAGUAACGCGUGGGGAAUCUGCCUUCGGGCGGGGGACAACAUUUGGAAACGAAUGCUAAUACCGCAUAAAAACUUUAAACACAAGUUUUAAGUUUGAAAGAUGCAAUUGCAUCACUCAAAGAUGAUCCCGCGUUGUAUUAGCUAGUUGGUGAGGUAAAGGCUCACCAAGGCGAUGAUACAUAGCCGACCUGAGAGGGUGAUCGGCCACAUUGGGACUGAGACACGGCCCAAACUCCUACGGGAGGCAGCAGUAGGGAAUCUUCGGCAAUGGACGAAAGUCUGACCGAGCAACGCCGCGUGAGUGAAGAAGGUUUUCGGAUCGUAAAACUCUGUUGGUAGAGAAGAACGUUGGUGAGAGUGGAAAGCUCAUCAAGUGACGGUAACUACCCAGAAAGGGACGGCUAACUACGUG